AACAAAGUGACUGAGUUGUAUUCCUGCAAGAUAGUAUUCGGAUACCUCAUUAAAGUGGUAUAGCCGCUAUCUUCAGUGCAACCAAGUUUUUGUUUUGCAUAUUUUAGAUUAGUUUUACUAUUGUGAAUGACUCAAAUGACAAAUAAAAAUACAAAUGUCUUUUUUUCGUGUAUUUUUAAAAUUUAAGAUUUAAACUCAAUAAUAGUGAUUUAUAGAAAACAAAAGUAAAGGGUUUCAGCAACCUUUUGUUAAAGAAAAAAAAUAUAAUUUCUUCACUUAGAAAGAAUCAUAACACAAGUGCUGCUUGUUUGUUUGUGCAUUUGGUACAGUUUUUUUCGAUUCGCUGGAGAGUAACGCUUGGCGAAUCGAAUACAGCUUUAGAUAAUUAUAAUGAGAAACAGAGAGACCUGUUUUACUAGCAUCUAAAAGUGAUGUAAGAAAUGUAUCAAGGUUGAUGUAAUCGUCCUAUCAUUACAGUUUACUGCUGAUCUUUGAAAAAAGUUUGUUAACUGGAAAACUAUAAAGGAAGAGCUUAUAAAAGACAUUAAAUAGAUGGAUCCUAAUUUUUAAAAAUUUUGGUAAACUGAUAUUAUAUAUAUCUAGGGCAAUAAAGCCACUGUAGACCAGUGUAAUGUUUACUUUCGAGUACGAAGUAUCGAUCAAUCAGUUACUAUAUAUAGAUACUUUAAAAAUCGAGCUCUGAAUACUUAAGCUAUGCAUACCGUCUAAUACUACUAAAGAUUUAUAGGUGUAUGUAUACCUGCUCAUAAAAAGUGUAGAAACAGUUGGGGCACAAUCAAAUUCCUUCACUGGUAUUUAUCUGCUCACGUAAAAGAACACAGUAAAAUAACCCACAGUUGGGAUGAAGGAUUAUGAUGGUAUAAUGCCAAAGCAACAAAAUUUUCUAUGUAUGCAUAUGUGCUCACGUGGUUGUAUUUCACCUAUGAUAUAAAUAACUUUUUGUAAUAUAAUAGAAGCUGAACCAUAGCUACACGCAUUUAUAUCUAUAUGUAGAUGGAUUUAUGUAUAUCAUACAACGUACAUUUAUCAAAUAUCCGUCCCUCAGCGAGCGAUAGGAUGAAUGGAUUACGCAGUAAAAAGACAAACAAUAUAUCCUCACAUACUCGUAUAUCUGCAAACAGUCUGCCAGACGAAGAUAUGAACGAAGCAGGUUAGCUGCAAUGUGAAAAGCGAAUAAGACUUAUUACCAUCGGCGGCGUGGUUAACAGAUUCCGCAUUUAACUCAUUUUAUUUAUAUUUUUUAUAUGCUUACGCAAUUAUCCGAAAGAGGUUAAGCAAAUUUAUACACAAACAAAAAAGUAUGCGCAAGUAUUUAUACACGCUGACUCCCUUCCAAGCAGAUCUCUCCCGUUGACGGACAUACAGACACAUUUCUUUGAAAGAAAUAUGAUGAAGGUGUGUGAGCAGGAAACAAAUAAACAAUUCUUCCGUCCAUUUCGUGGAAGGAGAGGAAAACUCAAAAUUCACGACUUUAAAUUGUAAGCGAAAUGAAUCGCGCACACGUGUCGGAAAGCAAAGCUGGAACACCCAGUAGGAAUUUGUAAGGUUGAAGUUAAGAUGACUUAGAAAGGCUGCGUGCUUCCCCGAAACCGCUUAACGUUCCUUUGAGGACUCCACUUCAACACAAAAAAUUAUGAACAAAUCAAUUAAAAAUAAAGUAAAAAACAAUUUUGUUGUAUGCUUGAAAGUAGUAAAAAUGUAGAAAUUACAAAAUGAUCGCAUAUUAUUAUCACGAAAAAACGUAAAAAUUUCGGCCGUCACACCGGCCUACUACCUUAAAGACUUUAAGCUUGAUGUUAUGUGUGUAAGUCUAUUACUCCAGAUAAUACCAAUAUAAUAAAUAUUCCUAAUAUACGUGAACCAAUUUCUAAUAAAUGUAGGAUACAAUUAUGGUUUCAAGAUUUUAUUUUUGGUGAUAUAUAAAUGUGAUAAUAUAGACAAAUAUAAUAUUUGCGAUAUUGAGAUCCCAUUGCGAAAUAUGAAA
Bactrocera oleae (olive fruit fly) is the source of this 2005-nucleotide non-coding RNA. NCBI's taxonomy places the organism in Eukaryota, Metazoa, Arthropoda, Insecta, Diptera, Tephritidae. The record is from RefSeq and is a predicted model, not a curated record.